RNAcentral lists this ribosomal RNA (285 nucleotides) under uncultured bacterium. RNAcentral's name for it is "partial 16S ribosomal RNA". It matches the Rfam family "Bacterial small subunit ribosomal RNA", at positions 62 to 339 of the family's 1533-position model. The record is from RNAcentral.
UCGAGGGGCAGCAUGAUUUGUAGCAAUACAGAUUGAUGGCGACCGGCGCACGGGUGAGUAACACGUGUGCAACCAACCCCGUACCGGGAGAUAACCCGCGGAAACGUGGACUAACAUCCCAUGAUACUCGAGAGCCGCAUGGCUCUAGAUUUAAAAUUCCGGUGGUACGGGACGGGCACGCGCGACAUUAGGUAGUUGGCGGGGUAAGGGCCCACCAAGCCGACGAUGUCUAGGGGUUCUGAGAGGAAGGUCCCCACACUGGAACUGAGACACGGUCCAGACUCC